Molecule: ribosomal RNA, 433 nt
Filed under: uncultured bacterium
Lineage: Bacteria
Description: partial 16S ribosomal RNA
Rfam family: Bacterial small subunit ribosomal RNA
Source: RNAcentral
AACGAACGCUGGCGGCAUGCCUAACACAUGCAAGUCGAACGAGACCUUCGGGUCUAUUGGCCCCCGGGUUCGUCACGCGUGGGAACCUUCCCUUAUGUUCGGCAUAACUCUCCGACUGGGGUGCUAAUACCGGAUCAUGUCUACUGACCAACGAUUUAUUGAACUUGGAUGGGCCCGCGUGGGAUUCGCUAUUUGGUAGGGUAAUAGCUUACCAAGGGGACCAUUCACAGCUGGGUAGAGAGGAUGAUCAGCCACACUGGGACUGGGACACGGCCCAGACUCCUACGGGAGGCAGCAGUGGCGAAUAUUGGAAAGUGGGCGAAGGGCUGAUCCAGCAAUGACGCGUGAGUGAUGAAGGCCUUAGGGUUGUAAAGCUCUUUUACCCGGGAUGAUAAUGACAGUACCGGGAGAAAAAGCCCCGGCUAACUCCGUG